CCUACGGGUGGCAGCAGUGAGGAAUAUUGGUCAAUGGCCGGGAGGCUGAACCAGCCAAGUCGCGUGAGGGAAGACGGCCCUACGGGUUGUAAACCUCUUUUGUCAGGGAGCAAGGUGCAGGUCGGGACCUGCUGUGAGAGUACCUGAAGAAAAAGCAUCGGCUAACUCCGUGCCAGCAGCCGCGGUAAUACGGAGGAUGCGAGCGUUAUCCGGAUUUAUUGGGUUAAAAGGGUGCGCAGGCGGAGGCACAAGUCAGCAGUAAAAUCGCGGGGCUCAACCCCGCUCCGCCGUUGAAACUGUGUCCCUUGAGUGCGCGAAGGGUAGGCGGAAUGCGUGGUGUAGCGGUGAAAUGCAUAGAUAUCACGAAGAACGCCGAUUGCGAAGGCAGCUUACCAGUCUGCGACUGACGCUCAGGCACGAAAGUGUGGGUAUCGAACAGGAUUAGAUACCCCUGUAGUC
Molecule: ribosomal RNA, 459 nt
Filed under: uncultured bacterium
Lineage: Bacteria
Description: partial 16S ribosomal RNA
Rfam family: Bacterial small subunit ribosomal RNA
Source: RNAcentral